UACGGAGGGUGCAAGCGUUAAUCGGAAUUACUGGGCGUAAAGCGUGCGCAGGCGGUUUUGUAAGUCUGAUGUGAAAUCCCCGGGCUCAACCUGGGAAUUGCAUUGGAGACUGCAAGGCUAGAAUCUGGCAGAGGGGGGUAGAAUUCCACGUGUAGCAGUGAAAUGCGUAGAGAUGUGGAGGAACACCGAUGGCGAAGGCAGCCCCCUGGGUCAAGAUUGACGCUCAUGCACGAAAGCGUGGGGAGCAAACAGG
RNAcentral lists this ribosomal RNA (253 nucleotides) under uncultured bacterium. RNAcentral describes it as "partial 16S ribosomal RNA". It matches the Rfam family "Bacterial small subunit ribosomal RNA", at positions 524 to 776 of the family's 1533-position model. The record is from RNAcentral.